CACGUAGGGUGCGAGCGUUGUCCGGAAUUAUUGGGCGUAAAGAGCUCGUAGGCGGUGUGUCGCGUCGGCCGUGAAAACCUGCAGCUUAACUGUGGGCGUGCGGUCGAUACGGGCAUCACUGGAGUUCGGCAGGGGAGACUGGAAUUCCUGGUGUAGCGGUGAAAUGCGCAGAUAUCAGGAGGAACACCGGUGGCGAGGGCGGGUCUCUGGGCCGAUACUGACGCUGAGGAGCGAAAGCGUGGGGAGCGAACAGG
This 254-nucleotide ribosomal RNA is filed under the name uncultured bacterium. RNAcentral's name for it is "partial 16S ribosomal RNA". It matches the Rfam family "Bacterial small subunit ribosomal RNA", at positions 524 to 776 of the family's 1533-position model. The record is from RNAcentral.